RNAcentral lists this ribosomal RNA (468 nucleotides) under uncultured bacterium. Its description in RNAcentral is "partial 16S ribosomal RNA". It matches the Rfam family "Bacterial small subunit ribosomal RNA", at positions 28 to 507 of the family's 1533-position model. The record is from RNAcentral.
GACGAACGCUGGCGGCGUGCUUAACACAUGCAAGUCGAACGGAAAGGCCCUGCUUUUGUGGGGUGCUCGAGUGGCGAACGGGUGAGUAACACGUGAGUAACCUGCCCUUGACUUUGGGAUAACUUCAGGAAACUGGGGCUAAUACCGGAGAGGAGCUCCUGCUGCAUGGUGGGGGUUGGAAAGUUUCGGCGGUUGGGGAUGGACUCGCGGCUUAUCAGCCUGUUGGUGGGGUAGUGGCUUACCAAGGCUUUGACGGGUAGCCGGCCUGGGAGGGUGACCGGCCACCUUGGGACUGAGAUACGGCCCAGCAUCCUACGGGAGGCAGCAGUGGGGAAUAUUGCACAAUGGGCGGAAGCCUGAUGCAGCAACGCCGCGUGCGGGAUGACGGCCUUCGGGUUGUAAACCGCUUUCGCCUGUGACGAAGCGUGAGUGACGGUAAUGAGUAAAGAAGCACCGGCUAACUACGUG